CGGCAACAGCUCAAAUUUGAAAUCUGACUCCUUCGGGGUCCGAGUUGUAAUUUGCAGAGGAUGCCUCGGGUACGGGUACCUUCCGAGUUCCCUGGAACGGGACGCCAUAGAGGGUGAGAGCCCCGUCUGGUAGGAUACCUAGCCCGUGUGAGGCUCCUUCGAC
RNAcentral lists this ribosomal RNA (163 nucleotides) under Gibellulopsis sp. Its description in RNAcentral is "partial large subunit ribosomal RNA". It matches the Rfam family "Eukaryotic large subunit ribosomal RNA", at positions 99 to 261 of the family's 3401-position model. Lineage: Eukaryota; Fungi; Ascomycota; Sordariomycetes; Glomerellales; Plectosphaerellaceae. The record is from RNAcentral.